GGCGAAAGUCGCUUUUCCCGCAAGGGACACUAGUCGAGGUGCUGCAUGGCUGUCGUCAGCUCGUGUCGUGAGAUGUUGGGUUAAGUCCCGCAACGAGCGCAACCCUGCCUUUAGUUGCCACCAGGUUACGCUGAGCACUCUAAAGGGACUGCCGGUGAAAAACCGGAGGAAGGUGGGGAUGACGUCAAGUCCUCAUGGCCUUUAUGUCCAGGGCUACACACGUACUACAAUGGGCGGCACAAUGAGUCGCAAACCCGCGAGGGGGAGCCAAUCUCAAAAAACCGCUCUCAGUUCGGAUUGCAGUCUGCAACUCGACUGCAUGAAGCCGGAAUCGCUAGUAAUCGCUGAUCAGCAAGCAGCGGUGAAUACGUUCCCGGGCCUUGUACACACCGCCCGUCACAUCACGAAAGCCAGUUGUACUAGAAGCCGGUAAUUCAACCGCAAGGAGAUAGCCGUCCAAGGUAUGACUGGUGAUUGGGGUGAAGUCGUAACAAGGUAAGCGUAGAUGA
RNAcentral lists this ribosomal RNA (509 nucleotides) under uncultured bacterium. RNAcentral describes it as "bacterial SSU rRNA". It matches the Rfam family "Bacterial small subunit ribosomal RNA", at positions 1000 to 1509 of the family's 1533-position model. The record is from RNAcentral.